CUGUCACAAGGAUUAAAUUCUCCUUGACAACGAGGCCAAGGAUACACAAAUUAAUUGCGAGAGAAUAUUUAUUUAGGUUGCAUUAUGAGAUGAAGCAGCCUCCAAUGCAUAUGCUUGAGAAGGCUGUAGCUCCUGUUGCUCUCCUUGUUUUAGUAUUUGCUGUUGCUGAUGCUGCUGCUGUUCUCCUUGCCAUGUCCAAACAAUGUCCUUGAGUGCAGGUCUAAUCUCUUGUUUUAGUACUGUCUGAUACUCCAGUGUAUCUCCACUGGACUUCUUCAUUUCCACCAAAUGAAAACAAGGAGU
Molecule: unclassified non-coding RNA, 303 nt
Filed under: Hevea brasiliensis (rubber tree)
Lineage: Eukaryota; Viridiplantae; Streptophyta; Magnoliopsida; Malpighiales; Euphorbiaceae
Source: RNAcentral